CUCCAUCGCUAAGUCAAGACGCCUUUCUGCAUUUAUUUGCACACUGUUCCAUGAAAGUCGCCUGUUACAGCUUUGGUAGAUCAAGCAGCACUCGCCACCUGUCUCGGCAGGUUGGUUUUCGAUAUUGCAUCCGUCUUGGAAGCCUUGUCACUAGAGUGCAUGGCGUGUUUCGUUUGAGUUGAGGCCUGCCUUGCCGAUUGUUGGCUUUCUUUGUCAUGGCACGUCUCUUAGUAAUGUCUCACACAUAC
RNAcentral lists this small nucleolar RNA (248 nucleotides) under Exophiala aquamarina CBS 119918. RNAcentral describes it as "Small nucleolar RNA snR191". It matches the Rfam family "Small nucleolar RNA snR191". Lineage: Eukaryota; Fungi; Ascomycota; Eurotiomycetes; Chaetothyriales; Herpotrichiellaceae. The record is from Rfam by way of RNAcentral.